CCGAAAGCCGCACGUGCUGUGAAGAGGAUGAAACGCAGUGCUGUGAAGCAGGGGCCGCGGGAGGGGGCCUCACGGCCACAGGAUGGAAGGCUCUCUGAAUAGUAAGAAACAUUGCCAUCCACUAGAUUAUAACCUAAAUUGAUGGGGGCCUCGCAAGGACCCUCCCCGGAGGCAUCAUCUGCUCAUUUGACAGAUCGCACUUUCGGAUCCCGAUUCCCAGAUCGCCCCUUCGGGUCCCGGAUGCGAGUCUUGCGGGCUCCCGGCGUCGCGAGUUCGAAUCUGCCGGCUGCCGCGCUCCGGUUCCGCGUGCUCCUUCCAGACGCAGCCGCAGCCCCGGUCCCCGGGGGGCUCCUGAGUCCGGCCGUCUCCCUCCCCAGCCCUCCCCGGACCCGCUUCCAGUGUCCUCCGCGCCUCGGAAGCGGGCGGGUGGGGAUGGAGACUCUGGGGACCCCCGCCCCUAAUUCCGGCCAGGGGCCCCGGACUGGGGGGCGCAGAGCCGCCGGGCCGAAGGCUCUGGAAGCGGGGGCGCGGCCGAGAGGCGCAGUGACCGGACCGGCGUCCCCACCCGCCUCUAAACUUAGCCGCGGUGACGCGCGGCCCGGCGAUCGCGGCUGGGCCGGGGACUCAGGGGGGCCCGAGCGGAGGGGGGCGGCUCCGCUCGGCGAGCCUCUAUUUAUAGCGCCCGGAGCCCGAAAUAGCGCGGAGCCGAGCGGCCGGGAUGACGCGGGAGCCGCCGGGGGCUGACUCACCCGGCCCCGAGCGGCGGCCCCCGGAUGAGGGGCAGUGGAAGCGCCUGGCCCGGACCCCACGCCCUCCAGGGCAACUCUUCUGCUGGGACAUCCCGAGUGUCCAGAGGUCACUGUGGAUGGAUGUGCAGCAAAAGGGAGGAUCUGCAGCACGCGGGACUGAGACAGUGCAGCCUGCGCAACACAAGAGACGCAGCACAUACACAGAGAGGGAAAAACUAAAGUACAGAGAGGUUCGUCUCUUGCCUAAGGCCACACAGCAAAGAAGCAACCAAACCAGGACUCCAACUGAAGCUUAUGUUCUCCACCACUGGGGCCGGCCCGGUGGCGCAGCGGUUAAGUUUGCACAUUCCUCUUCCUGGCGGCCCAGGGUUCACUGGUUCGGAUCCUGGGUGCAGACAUGGCACUGCUUGGCACGCCAUGCUGUGGUAGGCGUCCCACGUAUAAAGUAGAGGAAGAUGGGCACAGAUCUUAGCUCAGGGCCAGUCUUCCUCAGCAAAAAGAGGAGGAUUGGCAGUAGUUAGCUCAGGGCUAAUCUUCCUCAAAAAAAAAAAAAAGAAAAUUCUGUAUGUUUACAAGAGGCAAAAUACUCUGCAAGUUUCCACAGAGACCCCUUGAGCUGGGGGCCUGAGGUCUAGUUCCGGCCCUGCCCUCUUUCCCAGCCUCAGUUUCCUCCUGUGAGGGAGGGCUGGAGGAGAUGGUAUCUGAAAGCCAUAGAAACUCUGCCUUCAGGGUGGAGGAGGCAGGCCCCCAAACAGAUUGUAUUCAUUUCCUGUGCUGCUGUAACAAAUUACUACCAACUUGGUAGCUUAAAACAAAAGAAAUUUAUUCUCUGGAGGCUGGAAGUCCUAAAUCAAAGUGUCAGCGGAGCCACCCUCCCUCCAAAGGUUCUGGGGAGGAUCCUGCUCUUCUCCUCCAGCCUCUGGCGGCCUCAGGCGCCCUUAGCUUGUGGCUGCCUCACGCUGUCUCUGCCUCCAUCUUCACGUGGCGUCUCUUCUGAUCUGUGUCUUGUCACCCUCUGCCUUUCUCAUCUAAGGAUGCUUGCUGUCAGGUUCAGGGCCUGUCCCGAUAAUCCAGGAGGAGCUCAUCUGAGAUCCUCACCUGAAUAGAAUCCGCAAAGACCCUUUUUUCAAAGAAGCUCCCGUGCACAGGUCUCAGGUGGACCCAUCUGGGACGGGGCGGGGGGGGGGGGGGGGGGGGGGGCGGCGCACGCCAUUCAAGUCACUGCACAGAUCAGAACAGAAAAGUGAGGACCGGAGAACAGGCAGCAGUGUUGACACCGGGAGGCGGCCAAAGCUUUGGGAUGGCGCAGGCCCGUUCCAGCAGGGACGGCGGGCACGCUCGCCCUGGGGGACCCGGAGUGGCCCGUGCAUCCCACACGUGUGUGACAAGUUGUGUGCGCCCCCACGGCCUGGGCAUCCUCCACUUUGAGGAUGGGACGUUUUGCAAGGAGUGUUCAUUCUUCAACUUUUCAUGUGGACCCGAGAGAUUUUCUCUUUCCUGAAUCUCCAAUCAGUAAUAAAAGUCAGCCCUCAUACUGCCUUUAAUAGGUGCCAGGCCCUGUUCUCAGUGUUCCGUGCUUAUUCCUUCGUUUAAUCUUCACAACAUCCCUCUGAGGCCUUGUGGGUGGUUCCCCCUUUCAAGUUGGAGCUGCAACUUGCAAGUUCCAGAACUAGUAUCUGAACCCCGCAGUCUGGCUGCAGACUCCAGGGUCUUGACCGUAGCCACGCUGUCUCCUGGAGGCACACUGUCACCUGUUAAAUCUGGACUUUGAGGAAGCCACCCUCCAGAUCUCCGAUGGCGCCAUCAUCCAUUUCUGCACGGUCGGAUGUGGCAGCCACUUGUCCGCGUGUGGAUCUUGAGAGCUUAAAAUGUGGCUGGUCCAAAAUGAGAUGUGCCCUGAGGGUAACAUUCACACUGGAUGUAACGAGCUCCCAAGCACAGGAACCAACUCGAAGCUGAAGCAUCCCGCUGUGAAAGCUCUUGCAAUCUACGCUCUGCCAGCUCAGGCCCCCGCUGCUUCCUCUCCAGAUCUAUGAAAUGGGACGAGGGAUUGAAUUAAACCAGAAAGUCGUUUGAGAUGCCCUUUCUCAUCACUCGGGUUGCAGUUAAGUGUCACCUCCUCCGACAAAGGCCUUCCCUGCCUACUUUUACCAAAGUCUCCCCUUUGUGAUAAUUUAUCAUCCCGGUUUCCUUUCCUUACAGCGCUU
Molecule: long non-coding RNA, 2956 nt
Organism: Equus asinus (donkey)
Lineage: Eukaryota; Metazoa; Chordata; Mammalia; Perissodactyla; Equidae
Source: Ensembl